Molecule: ribosomal RNA, 292 nt
Filed under: uncultured bacterium
Lineage: Bacteria
Description: partial 16S ribosomal RNA
Rfam family: Archaeal small subunit ribosomal RNA
Source: RNAcentral
GUGCCAGCCGCCGCGGUAAUACCGGCAGCUCAAGUGGUGUCCCAUAUUAUUGGGCCUAAAGCGUCCGUAGCUGGCUGCGCAAGUCCGUCGGGAAAUCCACUCGCCCAACGAGUGGGCGUCCGACGGAAACUGCACAGCUUGGGACCGGAAGGCUCGAAGGGUACGUCCGGGGUAGGAGUGAAAUCCCGUAAUCCUGGACGGACCGCCGAUGGCGAAAGCACGUCGCGAAGACGGAUCCGACAGUGAGGGACGAAAGCCAGGGUCUCCAACCGGAUUAGAAACCCUUUAGUCC